UUAUAUGGCGGCUGUGCGUGGGGCACCUUUGCGUGCGCCGGGCUCCUUGAUCCUCGGUCUGUCAACCCGCGUACAGCUGCCACCCAA
This is a non-coding RNA of Pseudomonas chlororaphis subsp. aureofaciens 30-84, 87 nucleotides long. The record is from Rfam. Lineage: Bacteria; Pseudomonadati; Pseudomonadota; Gammaproteobacteria; Pseudomonadales; Pseudomonadaceae.